UGCUUGCACCUGAUGGCGAGUGGCGAACGGGUGAGUAAUGCAUCGGAACGUGCCCAAUCGUGGGGGAUAACGCAGCGAAAGCUGUGCUAAUACCGCAUACGAUCUACGGAUGAAAGCGGGGGACCUUCGGGCCUCGCGCGAUUGGAGCGGCCGAUGUUAGAUUAGGUAGUUGGUGGGGUAAAGGCUCACCAAGCCGACGAUCUAUAGCUGGUCUGAGAGGACGACCAGCCACACUGGAACUGAGACACGGUCCAGACUCC
This 260-nucleotide ribosomal RNA is filed under the name unidentified marine bacterioplankton. Its description in RNAcentral is "partial 16S ribosomal RNA". It matches the Rfam family "Bacterial small subunit ribosomal RNA", at positions 77 to 339 of the family's 1533-position model. RNAcentral also lists the same sequence under 1 other name. The record is from RNAcentral.